Molecule: ribosomal RNA, 447 nt
Filed under: uncultured bacterium
Lineage: Bacteria
Description: bacterial SSU rRNA
Rfam family: Bacterial small subunit ribosomal RNA
Source: RNAcentral
UGGGGAAUAUUGGACAAUGGGCGAAAGCCUGAUCCAGCCAUGCCGCGUGAGUGACGAAGGCCUUAGGGUUGUAAAACUCUUUCGUCGGGGACGAUAAUGACGGUACCCGAAGAAGAAGCUCCGGCUAACUUCGUGCCAGCAGCCGCGGUAAUACGAAGGGAGCUAGCGUUGUUCGGAAUCACUGGGCGUAAAGCGCACGUAGGCGGAUAGUUAAGUCAGGGGUGAAAUCCUGGGGCUCAACCCCAGAACUGCCUUUGAUACUGGCUGUCUCGAGGUCGAGAGAGGUUGGUGGAAUUCCUAGUGUAGAGGUGAAAUUCGUAGAUAUUAGGAAGAACACCAGUGGCGAAGGCGACCACCUGGACUGAUACUGACACUGAGGUGCGAAAGCGUGGGGAGCAAACAGGAUUAGAUACCCGCGUAGUCCCUGAGCGGGCUGGCAAGGCGCAU